AUGCUAUUAUAUUUAGUCGUCUGUAAGUGAUAGACGUUUCCUGACCUUGCGAUUUAUUUACACAUGUACGAUUAGGUCAGAAAUUUAGCCAUAUUAAACUCGAUUCUUCUUAGGAAAAGAAAUCUACUAAAACUUGAGAAUCAUAUAUUAUAUUAAUCAAACGGAACUUUUAAAAAUUUAAUCAAAACAACACACGAAAGAAUGAGUUUCAAAAUAAGCUUGUUAUUCGUACUUGUUACCUACGGCAUGUGUAACAUUGUAUACCCAAAUUUGAAUCCUAAUAUACUUGAUGCAAAAAAAUAUAGAGCAAUUUAUGGAAGACCUGAUUUUUGUGAUUAUGAUUAUAGCUUUGGUGAUUGCGACAAAGCGGAGAGUCCUAACGAAAUACGUGGUCAGUUAAGAUAUUGGUAUAAUAUGGAAGAAGGAACAUGUAACAUUUUUAUAUACGGUGGUUGCGGAGGAAAUAAAAAUAAUUUUUAUACAAAGGAAAAGUGUAUGGAUUUGUGUAAUGAAAAUGUAGAAUUCUAGAUGCACCUUAGAUAUAAAAUUGUUAAGAAUUUCUAUAUAUUGAUAUGUAUUUAUAACAGUUUGACUUUAAAUAGAAAUACUAAAUGAAAGACUCUGCAAAGUCUUCAUAAAAUGCUUGUAAAAGUGUUUUAUUUUUACAAUAAAUGACUGUAAUAAAAUGAAAUGUACGGAUGUGUACAUAAAAUA
This is a non-coding RNA of Linepithema humile (Argentine ant), 714 nucleotides long. NCBI's taxonomy places the organism in Eukaryota, Metazoa, Arthropoda, Insecta, Hymenoptera, Formicidae. The record is from RefSeq and is a predicted model, not a curated record.